UCAUCAAUGUUUCUGCUAGGGCCACUUGACCUGGAUGUUGAGCCCUUGCCUCUCCCACUUCUAACCCUGCUGCUUCCACCUCCCAAGCUCCUUGAGCUAGUUGUCCUGCUGCUGGCACCAUGAGAGUCCACAUCUGAUAGACCAUUCUCCAACGCCCGAACCAAAUUCUCAAAGUAGUUCCGAGUCACACUGGUCAAUCCAGCAAGUUUAGUGCGGAACUCAUUGAAAUCCUUUGAUGGGCCCUCCGCAUUUAGAUAAGCCUGAAGCUCCUUCUCAGCACAUUGAUGAAGACG
RNAcentral lists this unclassified non-coding RNA (293 nucleotides) under Hevea brasiliensis (rubber tree). The record is from RNAcentral. Lineage: Eukaryota; Viridiplantae; Streptophyta; Magnoliopsida; Malpighiales; Euphorbiaceae.